Molecule: long non-coding RNA, 183 nt
Organism: Perognathus longimembris pacificus (Pacific pocket mouse)
Lineage: Eukaryota; Metazoa; Chordata; Mammalia; Rodentia; Heteromyidae
Exons: 3
Source: RefSeq, a predicted model, not a curated record
ACAGGUCUCAGGUCAGAACAAGGUAGUCGCAGGCAAGCAUUAGGAGGUGGAGGGUGGCUCUGGUUCUGCGUUCUAGAUUGUAAAUAGAAUCCCUUUGUAAAUAAAACCCCUUCCCACCUUAAAUUGUGCCUCAGUGGAUUAUUCUCACUCUGGGAAUACAACACUUCCUGAUUUGACUGGUGG